Molecule: ribosomal RNA, 468 nt
Filed under: uncultured bacterium
Lineage: Bacteria
Description: partial 16S ribosomal RNA
Rfam family: Bacterial small subunit ribosomal RNA
Source: RNAcentral
GACGAACGCUGGCGGCGUGCUUAACACAUGCAAGUCGAACGGAAAGGCCUUGCUUUUGUGGGGUGCUCGAGUGGCGAACGGGUGAGUAACACGUGAGUAACCUGCCCUUGACUUUGGGAUAACUUCAGGAAACUGGGGCUAAUACCGGAUAGGAGCUCCUGCUGCAUGGUGGGGGUUGGAAAGUUUCGGCGGUUGGGGAUGGACUCGCGGCUUAUCAGCUUGUUGGUGGGGUAGUGGCUUACCAAGGCUUUGACGGGUAGCCGGCCUGAGAGGGUGACCGGCCACAUUGGGACUGAGAUACGGCCCAGACUCCUACGGGAGGCAGCAGUGGGGAAUAUUGCACAAUGGGCGGAAGCCUGAUGCAGCAACGCCGCGUGCGGGAUGACGGCCUUCGGGUUGUAAACCGCUUUCGCCGGUGACGAAGCGUGAGUGACGGUAAUGGGUAAAGAAGCACCGGCUAACUACGUG